This 2894-nucleotide ribosomal RNA is filed under the name Clostridioides difficile. RNAcentral's name for it is "Bacterial large subunit ribosomal RNA". It matches the Rfam family "Bacterial large subunit ribosomal RNA". The record is from RNAcentral. Lineage: Bacteria; Bacillati; Bacillota; Clostridia; Peptostreptococcales; Peptostreptococcaceae.
GUCAAGUUAUUAAGGGUGCAGGGCGGAUGCCUUGGCACUAGGAGCCGAUGAAGGACGUGAUAAGCUGCGAUAAGCUUCGGGGAGUUGCACGUAAACUUUGAUCCGAAGAUUUCCGAAUGAGGAAACUCACUUAGAGUAAUGUCUAAGUAUCAUUAAGUGAAUACAUAGCUUAAUGAGGGGAACUCAGGGAACUGAAACAUCUAAGUACCUGAAGGAAGAGAAAGAAAUUCGAUUCCGUAAGUAGCGGCGAGCGAACGCGGAUUAGCCCAAACCAAUAAAGUUUUCUUUAUUGGGGUUGCGGACAUAUCAUAACGAAGAGGUAUCGUAAUUGAAGAGGUUUGGAAAGACCCACCACAGAAGGUAAUAGUCCUGUAUGUUAAACGAGAAGACUUCAGAUAUGAUCCAGAGUACCACGGGACACGUGAAACCCUGUGGGAAGCAGGAGGGACCACCCUCCAAGGCUAAAUACUACCUAGUGACCGAUAGCGUAUAGUACCGUGAGGGAAAGGUGAAAAGAACCCCGGGAGGGGAGUGAAAUAGAACCUGAAACCCUGCACUUACAAGCUGUGGAAGCACAUUUCUUGUGUGACCGCGUACUUUUUGUAGAACGGGCCAACGAGUUACGUUAAGUAGCAAGGUUAAGCACUUAAGGUGCGGAGCCGUAGCGAAAGCGAGUUUUAACUGAGCGUUCAGUUACUUGACGUAGACCCGAAACCGGGCGACCUACCCAUGAGCAGGAUGAAGCGAAAGUAAAAUUUCGUGGAGGUCCGAACCCACGAGCGUUGAAAAGCUCGGGGAUGACUUGUGGGUAGCGGUGAAAUUCCAAUCGAGCCCGGAGAUAGCUGGUUCUCCCCGAAAUAGCUUUAGGGCUAGCCUCAAGGUGAGAGAUACGGAGGUAGAGCACUGAAUGUCCUAGGGGGUAUUGCACCUACCGAAGACUAUCAAACUCCGAAUGCCGUCAUCUUAUACUUGGGAGUCAGACUGUGGGUGAUAAGAUUCAUAGUCGAAAGGGCAACAGCCCAGAUCGUCAGCUAAGGUCCCUAAAUGUAAGUUAAGUGGUAAAGGAUGUGGGAUUGCACAGACAACCAGGAUGUUGGCUUAGAAGCAGCCACUCAUUCAAAGAGUGCGUAAUAGCUCACUGGUCGAGUGAUCCUGCGCCGAAGAUUUCCGGGGCUAAAACUUACUACCGAAGCUACGGCAUCAGUAAUGAUGGGUAGGGGAGCUUCCCAUACGGGUUGAAGCAUGACCGUAAGGACAUGUGGACAGUAUGGGAGUGAGAAUGUUGGCAUGAGUAGCGAGAUGUGGGUGAGAAUCCCACAGGCCGUAAACCCAAGGUUUCCAGGGGAAGGUUCGUCCGCCCUGGGUUAGUCGGGACCUAAGCUGAGGCCGAAAGGCGUAGGUGAUGGACAACAGGUUGAUAUUCCUGUACUACCGAUAACCGUUUGAGAGAAGGGAUGACACAGUAGGAUAAGCUAAGCACACUGUUGGUUAUGUGUGCCCAAGCAUUGAGGCGGUCAAAGUAGGCAAAUCCGCUUUGAUAAUGCUGGGAUGUGAUGGGGAGCGAAAUUUAGUAGCGAAGUAGCUGAUUUCACACUGUCAAGAAAAGUCUCUAUCGAGGUUAAAGGUACCCGUACCGCAAACCGACACAGGUGGGUGAGGAGAGUAUCCUAAGGCCAGCGAGAGAACUGUUGUUAAGGAACUCGGCAAAAUGACCCCGUAACUUAGGGAUAAGGGGUGCCACCAUCAGGUGGCCGCAGAGAAUAGGCCCAAGCGACUGUUUACCAAAAACAUAGGUUUCUGCUAAGUCGCAAGACGAUGUAUAGGAGCUGACGCCUGCCCGGUGCUGGAAGGUUAAGGGGAUCUGUUAGAGCAAUCGAAGCAGUGAACUUAAGCCCCAGUAAACGGCGGCCGUAACUAUAACGGUCCUAAGGUAGCGAAAUUCCUUGUCGGGUAAGUUCCGACCCGCACGAAAGGCGUAACGAUUUGGGCACUGUCUCAACAACAGACUCGGUGAAAUUGUAAUUCCGGUGAAGAUGCCGGAUACCUGCGACAGGACGGAAAGACCCCAUGGAGCUUUACUGUAGCUUGACAUUGGGUCUUGGUACUACAUGUACAGGAUAGGUGGGAGGCUUUGAAACCAGGACGCCAGUUUUGGCGGAGCCAUCCUUGGGAUACCACCCUUGUAGUACUGGGACUCUAACCAUAGGCCAUGAAUCUGGUCUUGGGACACUGUCAGGUGGGCAGUUUGACUGGGGCGGUCGCCUCCCAAAAGGUAACGGAGGCGCUCAAAGGUUCUCUCAGUACGGUCGGAAAUCGUACGUAGAGUGUAAAGGCAAAAGAGAGCUUGAUUGCAAGACAUACAGGUCGAGCAAGGAUGAAAAUCGGACUUAGUGAUCCGGUGGUUCUGCGUGGAAGGGCCAUCGCUCAACGGAUAAAAGCUACCCUGGGGAUAACAGGCUUAUCUCCCCCAAGAGUCCACAUCGACGGGGAGGUUUGGCACCUCGAUGUCGGCUCAUCACAUCCUGGGGCUGUAGUAGGUCCCAAGGGUUGGGCUGUUCGCCCAUUAAAGUGGUACGCGAGCUGGGUUCAGAACGUCGUGAGACAGUUCGGUCCCUAUCCGUCGCAGGCGUAGGAAAUUUGAGAAGACCUGUCCUUAGUACGAGAGGACCGGGAUGGACGUACCUCUGGUGUACCAGUUGUCCUGCCAAGGGCAUGGCUGGGUAGCUAUGUACGGAAUGGAUAAGCGCUGAAAGCAUCUAAGCGCGAAGCCAACUUCAAGAUAAGAUUUCCCACCGCAAGGGUAAGACCCCAGAAAGACUAUCUGGUUGAUAGGUCGAAGGUGUAAGUGCAGUAAUGUAUUUAGCUUAUCGAUACUAAUAGGUCGAGGACUUGAC